ACCGGUUUGGCUCAGUGGAUAGAGCGUUGGCCUGCUGACUCAAGGGUCCCAGGUUCAAUUCCAGUCGGCG
This 70-nucleotide transfer RNA is filed under the name Myotis brandtii (Brandt's bat). It matches the Rfam family "tRNA". From Rfam's summary of the family: Transfer RNA (tRNA) molecules are approximately 80 nucleotides in length. Their secondary structure includes four short double-helical elements and three loops (D, anti-codon, and T loops). The record is from Rfam by way of RNAcentral. Lineage: Eukaryota; Metazoa; Chordata; Mammalia; Chiroptera; Vespertilionidae.